This 384-nucleotide unclassified non-coding RNA is filed under the name uncultured Dacrymycetaceae. Its description in RNAcentral is "sequence contains ITS2". The stretch from base 1 to 154 matches the Rfam family "5.8S ribosomal RNA". RNAcentral also lists the same sequence under 1 other name. Lineage: Eukaryota; Fungi; Basidiomycota; Dacrymycetes; Dacrymycetales; Dacrymycetaceae. The record is from RNAcentral.
AACUUUCGACAAUGGAUCACUUGGCUCUCGCAUCGAUGAAGAACGCAGCGAAACGCGAUAUGUAAUGUGAAUUGCAGAUUUUUGUGAACCAUCGAAUCUUUGAACGCACCUUGCGCUCUCUGGUAUUCCGGAGAGCAUGCCUGUUUGAGCGCCUUAUUACAAUUGUACAAUUGCAUUCGUGUAAUUGCACAGUAGUGGGCAUUGCCGUGUGAACGGCUUGCCCUGAAUGCAUUAGCAUUUCUGACCUUGAAACCGACGUGAUAAGUAUCUUCGUUGGCAGAAAGUGAAGAUGUGCUUCCAAUCGUCCUCGGACAAAACCUAAUGCUAGGCAUCAAAUCAGGUAGGAUUACCCGCUGAACUUAAGCAUAUCAAUAAGCGGAGGCU